RNAcentral lists this ribosomal RNA (408 nucleotides) under uncultured bacterium. RNAcentral describes it as "partial 16S ribosomal RNA". It matches the Rfam family "Bacterial small subunit ribosomal RNA", at positions 28 to 526 of the family's 1533-position model. The record is from RNAcentral.
GACGAACGCUGGCGGCGUGCCUAAUACAUGCAAGUCGAGCGAAGCGGCUGAUGGGUGAGUAACGCGUGGGUAACCUGCCCUUCCGUCUGGGAUACCAUUUGGAAACAGAUGCUAAUACCGGAUACUAAAGGAUGGACUUGCGAUGCAUUAGCUAGUUGGUAAGGUAACGGCUUACCAAGGCGAUGAUGCAUAGCCGGGUUGAGUGAGUGAUCGGCCACAGUGGGACUGAGACACGGCCCAAACGCCUACGGGAGGCAGCAGGAGGGAAUCUGCCGCAAGGGGCGAAAGUCUGAUGGAGCAACGCCGCGGGAGUGAAGAAGGUUUUCGGAUCGUAAAGCUCUGUUGUUGGUGAAGCGGUAAUCAACCAGAAAGUCACGGCUAACUACGUGCCAGCAGCCGCGGUAAUUC